CGGAGUGUAGCUCAGCCUGGUAGAGCACCGUGUUCGGGACGCGGGGGUCGGAGGUUCGAAUCCUCUCACUCCGACCA
This 77-nucleotide transfer RNA is filed under the name Caulobacter sp. RNAcentral describes it as "tRNA-Pro". It matches the Rfam family "tRNA". Rfam says of the family: Transfer RNA (tRNA) molecules are approximately 80 nucleotides in length. Their secondary structure includes four short double-helical elements and three loops (D, anti-codon, and T loops). The record is from RNAcentral. Lineage: Bacteria; Pseudomonadati; Pseudomonadota; Alphaproteobacteria; Caulobacterales; Caulobacteraceae.